UACGUAGGGUGCGAGCGUUAAUCGGAAUUACUGGGCGUAAAGCGUGCGCAGGCGGUUUUGUAAGCCAGAUGUGAAAGCCCCGGGCUUAACCUGGGAAUGGCAUUUGGGACUGCAAGGCUUGAGUGCGGCAGAGGAGACUGGAAUUCCUGGUGUAGCAGUGAAAUGCGUAGAUAUCAGGAGGAAUACCGAUGGCGAAGGCAGGUCUCUGGGCUGACACUGACGCUCAUGCACGAGAGCGUGGGGAGCAAACAGG
This 253-nucleotide ribosomal RNA is filed under the name uncultured bacterium. RNAcentral's name for it is "partial 16S ribosomal RNA". It matches the Rfam family "Bacterial small subunit ribosomal RNA", at positions 524 to 776 of the family's 1533-position model. The record is from RNAcentral.